UACAGAGGGGGCAAGCGUUGUUCGGAAUUACUGGGCGUAAAGCGCACGUAGGUGGUUUGUUAAGCCAGCUGUGAAAUCCCCGGGCUCAACCUGGGCACUGCAGUUGGAACUGGCAAGCUAGAGUAGGGUAGAGGGGUGUGGAAUUCCAGGUGUAGCGGUGAAAUGCGUAGAUAUCGAGAGGAACACCUGCGGCGAAGGCGGGUUGCUGGGCUGACACUGACGCUGAUGCGCGAAAGCUAGGGGAGCGAACGGG
RNAcentral lists this ribosomal RNA (253 nucleotides) under uncultured prokaryote. RNAcentral's name for it is "partial 16S ribosomal RNA". It matches the Rfam family "Bacterial small subunit ribosomal RNA", at positions 524 to 776 of the family's 1533-position model. The record is from RNAcentral.